RNAcentral lists this transfer RNA (55 nucleotides) under Regioscalpellum regium. RNAcentral describes it as "tRNA-Ser". Lineage: Eukaryota; Metazoa; Arthropoda; Thecostraca; Scalpellidae. The record is from RNAcentral.
GAAAAUGAAAAUAUUAGACUUCUAAUCUAAGAAAUUGCAGAUGGUAACAUUUUCU